This 73-nucleotide transfer RNA is filed under the name Ixodes scapularis (black-legged tick). RNAcentral describes it as "tRNA-Ser for anticodon AGA". The record is from RNAcentral. Lineage: Eukaryota; Metazoa; Arthropoda; Arachnida; Ixodida; Ixodidae.
UUCUGGUUAGCUAUGUUGCUAGAGCGCUCCACCAGAAAUGGAGAGGUCCCGGGUUCGACACCAGGACCAGGCG